Molecule: small RNA, 568 nt
Filed under: Pongo abelii (Sumatran orangutan)
Lineage: Eukaryota; Metazoa; Chordata; Mammalia; Primates; Hominidae
Description: retained intron
Source: RNAcentral
AAGGUGAACGCUGCGCUCGGGGUGCCUCGCCUGCUACCUCCGCCGCCGGGCAUGCUCAGCGUCUGCAGCUGCCGGACCAGCUCCGGCAUGCGGUCCCAGUGACCCUCGGCGCGGCAGCGCUCUAGCUCGCUCUCCACCUUCAGAUAUUGAUGACCAUGAGAUCCCUGCUCAGAACCCCCUUCCUGUGUGGCCUGCUCUGGGCCUUUUGUGCCCCAGGCGCCAGGGCUGAGGAGCCUGCAGCCAGUUUCUCCCAACCCGGCAGCAUGGGCCUGGAUAAGAACACAGUGCACGACCAAGAGCAUAUCAUGGAGCAUCUAGAAGGUGUCAUCAACAAACCAGAGGCGGAGAUGUCACCACAAGAAUUGCAGCUCCAUUACUUCAAAAUGCAUGAUUAUGAUGGCAAUAAUUUGCUUGAUGGCUUAGAACUCUCCACAGCCAUCACUCAUGUCCAUAAGGAGGUAGGUCUGGUGGUGGCUUGGGGGACUGUAUCACAGAAAGGUUUCCCUUUGUUAAUUUGGUCCCCAGUCUUGUUGACUUGUGUUGUCCUUAUGUGCCAAGAGUGCUGCUU